AGUGAACGCUGGCGGUAGGCCCAACACAUGCAAGUCGAACGGCAGCACAGUAAGAGCUUGCUCUUACGGGUGGCGAGUGGCGGACGGGUGAGGAAUACAUCGGAAUCUACUUUUUCGGGGGGGAUAACGUAGGGAAACUUACGAUAAUACCGCAUACGACCUACGGGUGAAAGCAGGGGAUCGUCGGACCUUGCGCGAUUGAAUGAGCCGAUGUCGGAUUAGCUAGUUGGCGGGGGAAAGGCCCAGCAAGGCGACGAUACGUAGCUGGUCUGAGAGGAUGAUCGGCCACCCUGGAACUGGACCACGGUCCAGACUCCUACGGGAGGCAGCAGUGGGCAAUAUUGGACAAUGGUCGGAAGCCUGGUCCAGCCAUACCGCGUGGGUGACGGAGGCCUUCCGGUUGUAAAGCCCUUUUGUUGGGAAAGAACCGCAGCAGGUUGUUACCCCGCUGUUCUGACGGUACCCAAUGAAUAAGCACCGGCUAACUUCGUG
RNAcentral lists this ribosomal RNA (492 nucleotides) under uncultured bacterium. Its description in RNAcentral is "partial 16S ribosomal RNA". It matches the Rfam family "Bacterial small subunit ribosomal RNA", at positions 29 to 507 of the family's 1533-position model. The record is from RNAcentral.